AGUGAACGCUGGCGGUAGGCCUAACACAUGCAAGUCGAACGGCAGCACAGUAAGAGCUUGCUCUUACGGGUGGCGAGUGGCGGACGGGUGAGGAAUACAUCGGAAUCUACUUUUUCGUGGGGGAUAACGUAGGGAAACUUACGCUAAUACCGCAUACGACCUACGGGUGAAAGCAGGGGAUCUUCGGACCUUGCGCGAUUGAAUGAGCCGAUGUCGGAUUAGCUAGUUGGCGGGGUAAAGGCCCACCAAGGCGACGAUCCGUAGCUGGUCUGAGAGGAUGAUCAGCCACACUGGAACUGAGACACGGUCCAGACUCCUAAGGGAGGCAGCAGUGGGGAAUAUUGGACAAUGGGCGCAAGCCUGAUCCAGCCAUACCGCGUGGGUGAAGAAGGCCUUCGGGUUGUAAAGCCCUUUUGUUGGGAAAGAAAAGCAGCAGGUUAAUACCCCGCUGUUCUGACGGUACCCAAAGAAUAAGCACCGGCUAACUUCGUU
RNAcentral lists this ribosomal RNA (492 nucleotides) under uncultured bacterium. Its description in RNAcentral is "partial 16S ribosomal RNA". It matches the Rfam family "Bacterial small subunit ribosomal RNA", at positions 29 to 507 of the family's 1533-position model. The record is from RNAcentral.